RNAcentral lists this ribosomal RNA (301 nucleotides) under uncultured bacterium. RNAcentral's name for it is "partial 16S ribosomal RNA". It matches the Rfam family "Bacterial small subunit ribosomal RNA", at positions 509 to 807 of the family's 1533-position model. The record is from RNAcentral.
CAGUAGCCGCGGUAAUACGUAGGUGGCAAGCGUUGUCCGGAAUUAUUGGGCGUAAAGGGCUCGCAAGCGGUUUCUUAAGUCUGAUGUGAAAGCCCCCGGCUCAACCGGGGAGGGUCAUUGGAAACUGGGAAACUUGAGUGCAGAAGAGGAGAGUGGAAUUCCACGUGUAGCGGUGAAAUGCGUAGAGAUGUGGAGGAACACCAGUGGCGAAGGCGACUCUCUGGUCUGUAACUGACGCUGAGGAGCGAAAGCGUGGGGAGCGAACAGGAUUAGAUACCCCAGUAGUCCCUGUCUCUUAUAC